AGGGGGCAUAGCGCUUACCGAACCUUAUCAAACUCCGAAUGCCACAUACUUUGAGCUCGGCAGUCAGACUACGAAUGAUAAGAUCCGUGGUCAAAAGGGAAACAGCCCAGAUCGUCAGCUAAGGUCCCAAAGUGUAAGUUAAGUGGGAAAGGAUGUGAGAUUUCUAAGACAACUAGGAUGUUGGCUUAGAAGCAGCCAUUCAUUAAAAGAGUGCGUAAUAGCUCACUAGUCGAGAGAUCUUGCGCCGAAAAUGUAACGGGGCUAAACUUACCACCGAAGCUACGGGCUUGAACUUAGUUCAAGCGGUAGGAGAGCGUCGUAACCGGGCUGAAGUCGUACCGUAAGGAGCGGUGGACUGGUUACGAGUGAGAAUGUUGGCAUCAGUAGCGAGAUGUGGGUGAGAAUCCCACAGGCCGAAAACCUAAGGUUUCCUCAGGAAGGUUCGUCCGCUGAGGGUUAGUCGGGACCUAAGCCGAGGCCGAAAGGCGUAGGUGAUGGACAACUGGUUGAUAUUCCAGUACCACUACCAUCGUUAUUAUCGAUGGCGUGACGCAGGAGGAUAGUGUGUGCUAGCUAUUGGAUGCUAGUCUAAGCGUUUAGGCAGUGAGAGUAGGCAAAUCCGCUCUCAUAAUGCUGAGGCGUGAUGGGGAAGGUUCUACGGAACCGAAGUACAUGAUUCCACGCUGCCAAGAAAAGCGUCUAGAGAGAGAAGUAGUGCCCGUACCGCAAACCGACACAGGUAGGUGAGGAGAGAAUCCUAAGGCCGGCGGAAGAAUUACAGUUAAGGAACUCGGCAAAUUGACCCCGUAAGUUCGCGAGAAGGGGUGCCUACGAGAGUAGGCCGCAGAGAAUAGGCCCAAGCAACUGUUUAGCAAAAACACAGGUCUCUGCUAAAGCGUAAGCUGAUGUAUAGGGGCUGACGCCUGCCCGGUGCUGGAAGGUUAAGAGGAGGGGUUAGACUUUGGUCGAAGCUCUGAAUUGAAGCCCCAGUAAACGGCGGCCGUAACUAUAACGGUCCUAAGGUAGCGAAAUUCCUUGUCGGGU
Molecule: ribosomal RNA, 1044 nt
Filed under: human gut metagenome
Description: bacterial LSU rRNA
Rfam family: Bacterial large subunit ribosomal RNA
Source: RNAcentral